AGAAUACCUUGCAGGCAUAUUUGGAGCCGAUUUUUAGACUUUUUCAAUUUUUGCUGGCACAAACAGACCUGGCACCACUUUAUUUUGUACAUUUGUAUUUCAUCAUGGCGUGGAUUUUAUCUUCAGGUGUAAAGGUACAGCAUCUAUGUGGUAAUCAUUACCAUACCUGUGGAAAAGUCCUCUCGUCAGAGGACUAUCGACAUUCGGCCAACACGGUUUCACCAGCUUGUGCAUCCGUUGAGAAGGAUGAAGGCAUGAUUUUGUGACGAUGGCUAGCGCUGUAAUAUGCCGAAGCACAUUGAAGGUUGCCUUGAACGCUAUUUCGUUGCAGAAGAGUGAACGAUUUAAUGCCAGUCAUGUAGGAAAUGACAGCCAAAAGUGCGAAAACGCGCACCUCAGCUGUUCGAGAAUACCCACUUCAACAACAAAAACGUCCAAUGAUCUAUCCCGGCAUAAGAUCUGCUUAGUAGAAGAACAUCGUCCGACCACCCCGGAUACUUGUUUCCAACCAACGGAUUGUUCCGCGCAACUAUUAUUUCAUUAUUGCUGUUUUCAAUGACAGUGCACCGGUGCAGGGGAGUGCACUGGUUUUUCACUUUCAGGCAGAAGUGUUAAUACAACAUACCCAGUUUUUGCAUUGCUACUCGAAAGUACAAAAAACAACCAGUGCACGGAACUACCCUGGUGCACAUCAAUCAAA
Topomyia yanbarensis is the source of this 700-nucleotide long non-coding RNA. RefSeq lists it as uncharacterized. NCBI's taxonomy places the organism in Eukaryota, Metazoa, Arthropoda, Insecta, Diptera, Culicidae. The record is from RefSeq and is a predicted model, not a curated record. The transcript is spliced from 3 exons.